RNAcentral lists this long non-coding RNA (407 nucleotides) under Salmo salar (Atlantic salmon). RNAcentral describes it as "lncRNA (ENSSSAG00000118194.1)". The record is from RNAcentral. Lineage: Eukaryota; Metazoa; Chordata; Actinopteri; Salmoniformes; Salmonidae.
AGUGGUUAGAGAGAGAGACCAUCUGGGUAGGGGCUGAGUGGUUAGAGAGAGAGACCAUCUGGGUAGGGGCUGAGUGGUUAGAGAGAGAGACCAUCUGGGUAGGGGCUGAGUGGUUAGAGAGACCAUCUGGGUAGGGGCUGAGUGUGGUUAGAGAGAGAGACCAUCUGGGUAGGGGCUGAGUGGUUAGAGAGACCAUCUGGGUAGGGGCUGAGUGGUUAGAGAGACCAUCUGUGUAGGGGCUGAGUGGUUAGAGAGAGAGAGACCAUCUGGGUAGGGGCUGAGUGGUUAGAGAGAGAGAGACCAUCUGGGUAGGGGCUGAGUGGUUAGAGAGAGAGACCAUCUGGGUAGGGGCUGAGUGGUUAGAGAGAGAGAGACCAUCUGGGUAGGGGCUGAGUGGUUAGAGAGAG